UCAAGUUAUUAAGGGUGCAGGGCGAAUGCCUUGGCACUAGGAGCCGAUGAAGGACGUGAUAAGCUGCGAUAAGCUUCGGGGAGUUGCACGUAAACUUUGAUCCGAAGAUUUCCGAAUGAGGAAACUCACUUAGAGUAAUGUCUAAGUAUCGUAUAAUGAAUACAUAGUCAUGCGAGGGGAACCCGGGGAACUGAAACAUCUAAGUACCCGGAGGAAGAGAAAGAAAUUCGAUUCCGUAAGUAGCGGCGAGCGAACGCGGAACAGGCCAAACCAGUGAAGUUUUCUUCGCUGGGGUUGCGGACAUAUCAUAACGAAGAGGUAUCGUAGAUGAAGAGAGUUGGAAAGCUCCGCCAUAGAUGGUAACAGCCCAGUACUUUAAACGAGAAGACUUUAGAUAUGAUCCAGAGUACCACGGGACACGUGAAACCCUGUGGGAAGCAGGAGGGACCAUCCUCCAAGCCUAAAUACUACCUAGUGACCGAUAGCGUAUAGUACCGUGAGGGAAAGGUGAAAAGAACCCCGGGAGGGGAGUGAAAGAGAACCUGAAACCCUGCACUUACAAGCUGUGGGAGCACAUUACUUGUGUGACCGCGUACUUUUUGUAGAACGGGCCAACGAGUUACGUUAAGUAGCAAGGUUAAGCACUUAAGGUGUGGAGCCGUAGCGAAAGCGAGUCUUAAAUGGGCGAUUAAGUUACUUGGCGUAGACCCGAAACCGGGCGACCUAUCCAUGAGCAGGUUGAAGCGAAAGUAAAAUUUCGUGGAGGACCGAACCCACGAGCGUUGAAAAGCUCGGGGAUGACUUGUGGAUAGCGGUGAAAUUCCAAUCGAGCCCGGAGAUAGCUGGUUCUCCCCGAAAUAGCUUUAGGGCUAGCCUCAAGCGUAGAGAAACGGAGGUAGAGCACUGAAUGUCCUAGGGGGUAUUGCACUUACCGAAGACUAUCAAACUCCGAAUGCCGUAUUCUUUUGCUUGGGAGUCAGACUAUGGGUGAUAAGAUUCAUAGUCAAAAGGGCAACAGCCCAGAUCGUCAGCUAAGGUCCCUAAAUGUACGUUAAGUGGUAAAGGAUGUGGGAUUGCACAGACAACCAGGAUGUUGGCUUAGAAGCAGCCACUCAUUUAAAGAGUGCGUAAUAGCUCACUGGUCGAGUGAUUCUGCGCCGAAAAUUUCCGGGGCUAAAACUUACUACCGAAGCUACGGCAUCAUUAUGAUGGGUAGGGGAGCUUUCUAUGCGGCUUGAAGCAUGACCGUAAGGACAUGUGGACUGCAUAGAAGUGAGAAUGUUGGCAUGAGUAGCGAGAUGUGGGUGAGAAUCCCACAGGCCGUAAACCCAAGGUUUCCAGGGGAAGGUUCGUCCGCCCUGGGUUAGUCAGGACCUAAGCCGAGGCCGAAAGGCGUAGGUGAUGGACAACAGGUUGAUAUUCCUGUACCACCAAUAACCGUUUGAGAAAUGGGAUGACACAGUAGGAUAAGCUAACCGCACUGUUGGUUAUGUGCGGGCAAGUAUUGAGGCAGUUCCGAUAGGCAAAUCCGUCGGAAUAAUGCUGGGGUACGAUGCGGAGCGAAAUUUAGUAGCGAAGUAGCUGAUUUCACACUGUCGAGAAAAGUCUCUAUCGAGGUUAAAGGUGCCUGUACCGCAAACCGACACAGGUGGGUGAGGAGAGUAUCCUAAGGCCAGCGAGAGAACUGUUGUUAAGGAACUCGGCAAAAUGACCCCGUAACUUAGGGAGAAGGGGUGCCUUCGAAAGAAGGCCGCAGAGAAUAGGCCCAAGCGACUGUUUACCAAAAACAUAGGUUUCUGCUAAGUCGCAAGACGAUGUAUAGGAGCUGACGCCUGCCCGGUGCUGGAAGGUUAAGGGGAUCUGUUAGAGCAAUCGAAGCAGUGAACUUAAGCCCCAGUAAACGGCGGCCGUAACUAUAACGGUCCUAAGGUAGCGAAAUUCCUUGUCGGGUAAGUUCCG
Molecule: ribosomal RNA, 1959 nt
Filed under: human gut metagenome
Description: bacterial LSU rRNA
Rfam family: Bacterial large subunit ribosomal RNA
Source: RNAcentral